Molecule: ribosomal RNA, 301 nt
Filed under: uncultured bacterium
Lineage: Bacteria
Description: partial 16S ribosomal RNA
Rfam family: Bacterial small subunit ribosomal RNA
Source: RNAcentral
CAGUAGCCGCGGUAAUACGUAGGUGGCAAGCGUUGUCCGGAAUUAUUGGGCGUAAAGGGCUCGCAGGCGGUUUCUUAAGUCUGAUGUGAAAGCCCCCGGCUCAACCGGGGAGGGUCAUUGGAAGCUGGGAAACUUGAGUGCAGAAGAGGAGAGUGGAAUUCCACGUGUAGCGGUGAAAUGCGUAGAGAUGUGGAGGAACACCAGUGGCGAAGGCGACUCUCUGGUCUGUAACUGACGCUGAGGAGCGAAAGCGUGGGGAGCGAACAGGAUUAGAUACCCCUGUAGUCCCUGUCUCUUAUAC